UACGUAGGGUCCGAGCGUUGUCCGGAUUUACUGGGCGUAAAGGGUGCGCAGGCGGACUGGUAAGUCAGUGGUGAAAUCUCGUCGCUUAACGACGAAACUGCCUUUGAUACUAUCAGUCUUGAAUCCGGUAGAGAUCUGUGGAAUUCCGAGUGCAGCAGUGAAAUGUGUAGAUAUUCGGAAGAACACCAGUGGCGAAGGCAGCAGAUUGGGCCGGUAUUGACGCUCAGGCACGAAAGCAUGGGGAUCAAACAGG
Molecule: ribosomal RNA, 253 nt
Filed under: uncultured bacterium
Lineage: Bacteria
Description: partial 16S ribosomal RNA
Rfam family: Bacterial small subunit ribosomal RNA
Source: RNAcentral